Molecule: ribosomal RNA, 291 nt
Filed under: uncultured soil bacterium
Lineage: Bacteria
Description: partial 16S ribosomal RNA
Rfam family: Bacterial small subunit ribosomal RNA
Source: RNAcentral
AGAGUGAACGCUGGCGGUAGGCCUAACACAUGCAAGUCGAACGGCAGCACAGUAGGAGCUUGCUCUUACGGGUGGCGAGUGGCGGACGGGUGAGGAAUACAUCGGAAUCUACCUUUUGGUGGGGGAUAACGUAGGGAAACUUACGCUAAUACCGCAUACGCCCUUCGGGGGAAAGCCGGGGACCAGCAAUGGCCUGGCGCUGAUAGAUGAGCCGAUGUCGGAUUAGCUAGUUGGUGAGGUAAUGGCUCACCAAGGCGACGAUCCGUAGCUGGUCUGAGAGGAUGAUCAGCC